AGCAAAGGUUCAUCGCUGUCUUUUAACUAGGCAGAGGAAAGUCCAGACUCGCACAACCUGAGAUGGUAGUAGUUUUUAUGCUAGGUUAAAGAAUAAACCUAGGCUAAAGUAAUUUAGACGGCUGACGAAUAUGCUAAGGAUUUAUAUCUAUGCAUUAGUAGUCUAUAAAAGUGCAAAAGAGACGAGCUUAAUUAGAAAUGAUUAAGGUGGAACGUUGUAAACCCCAUAAGCGAGCAACCCAAAUUAAUGGUAGGGGCAGGCAAACUAGGAAUUUAACGAUGUUUGUUGGUAGCAAUACAAGAUAAAUGAUGAACAAAACAGAAUCUGGCUUACGUUU
Biomphalaria glabrata is the source of this 337-nucleotide non-coding RNA. The record is from Rfam. NCBI's taxonomy places the organism in Eukaryota, Metazoa, Mollusca, Gastropoda, Planorbidae.